This 512-nucleotide ribosomal RNA is filed under the name Micrococcus sp. RNAcentral describes it as "bacterial SSU rRNA". It matches the Rfam family "Bacterial small subunit ribosomal RNA", at positions 186 to 712 of the family's 1533-position model. The record is from RNAcentral. Lineage: Bacteria; Bacillati; Actinomycetota; Actinomycetes; Micrococcales; Micrococcaceae.
CCGCAUGGUGGGUGUUGGAAAGAUUUAUCGGUUUUGGAUGGACUCGCGGCCUAUCAGCUUGUUGGUGAGGUAAUGGCUCACCAAGGCGACGACGGGUAGCCGGCCUGAGAGGGUGACCGGCCACACUGGGACUGAGACACGGCCCAGACUCCUACGGGAGGCAGCAGUGGGGAAUAUUGCACAAUGGGCGAAAGCCUGAUGCAGCGACGCCGCGUGAGGGAUGACGGCCUUCGGGUUGUAAACCUCUUUCAGUAGGGAAGAAGCGAAAGUGACGGUACCUGCAGAAGAAGCACCGGCUAACUACGUGCCAGCAGCCGCGGUAAUACGUAGGGUGCGAGCGUUAUCCGGAAUUAUUGGGCGUAAAGAGCUCGUAGGCGGUUUGUCGCGUCUGUCGUGAAAGUCCGGGGCUUAACCCCGGAUCUGCGGUGGGUACGGGCAGACUAGAGUGCAGUAGGGGAGACUGGAAUUCCUGGUGUAGCGGUGGAAUGCGCAGAUAUCAGGAGGAACACCGA